This 253-nucleotide ribosomal RNA is filed under the name uncultured bacterium. Its description in RNAcentral is "partial 16S ribosomal RNA". It matches the Rfam family "Bacterial small subunit ribosomal RNA", at positions 524 to 776 of the family's 1533-position model. The record is from RNAcentral.
UACAGAGGGUGCGAGCGUUAAUCGGAAUCACUGGGCUUAAAGCGUUCGUAGGCGGGUCUGCAGGCGCGUUGUGAAAGCCCCCGGCUCAACCGGGGAACUGCUUUGCGAACCGCAGAUCUUGAGUCAAGUAGGGGCGAUCGGAACGAUAGGUGGAGCGGUGAAAUGCGUAGAUAUCUAUCGGAACGCCGAAGGUGAAGACAGGUCGCUGGGCUUGUACUGACGCUGAGGAACGAAAGCGUGGGGAGCAAACGGG